RNAcentral lists this ribosomal RNA (1308 nucleotides) under uncultured bacterium. Its description in RNAcentral is "bacterial SSU rRNA". It matches the Rfam family "Bacterial small subunit ribosomal RNA", at positions 28 to 1381 of the family's 1533-position model. The record is from RNAcentral.
AACGUACGCUGGCGGCACGCCUAACACAUGCAAGUCGAACGAAGUAGCAAUACUUAGUGGCAGACGGGUGAGUAACAUGUAGGUAUCUGCCCUUUGGCCUGGAAUAACACGAGGAAACUUGUGCUAAUACCGGAUAAGUCUUUACGGAGAAAGCUUUAUGCACCAUUGGAUGAGCCUGCACUUGAUUAGUUUGUUGGUGGGGUAAUGGCCUACCAAGACUGUGAUCAAUAGCUGAUUUGAGAGGAUGAUCAGCCACAUUGGGACUGAGACACGGCCCAAACUCCUACGGGAGGCAGCAGUGGGGAAUCUUGCACAAUGGAGGAAACUCUGAUGCAGCGAUGCCGCGUGAGUGAAGAAGGCCCUUGGGUUGUAAAGCUCUUUCGUCGGGGAAGAAAAUGACUGUACCCGAAUAAGAAGGUCCGGCUAACUUCGUGCCAGCAGCCGCGGUAAUACGAAGGGACCUAGCGUAGUUCGGAAUUACUGGGCUUAAAGAGUUCGUAGGUGGUCGAAAAAGUUAGUGGUGAAAUCCCAGAGCUUAACUCUGGAACUGCCAUUAAAACUUUUCAGCUAGAGUAUGAUAGAGGAAAGCAGAAUUUCUAGUGUAGAGGUGAAAUUCGUAGAUAUUAGAAAGAAUACCAAUUGCGAAGGCAGCUUUCUGGAUCAUUACUGACACUGAGGAACGAAAGCAUGGGUAGCGAAGAGGAUUAGAUACCCUCGUAGUCCAUGCCGUAAACGAUGUGUGUUAGACGUUGGAAAUUUAUUUUCAGUGUCGCAGGGAAACCGAUAAACACACCGCCUGGGGAGUACGACCGCAAGGUUAAAACUCAAAUGAAUUGACGGGGACCCGCACAAGUAGUGGAGCAUGUGGUUUAAUUCGAAGAUACGCGCAGAACCUUACCAACACUUGACAUGUUCGUCGCGACUCUAAGAGAUUAGAGUUUUCGGUUCGGCCGGACGAAACACAGGUGCUGCAUGGCUGUCGUCAGCUCGUGUCGUGAGAUGUUGGGUUAAGUCCCGCAACGAGCGCAACCCUCACUUUUAGUUGCCAUCAUUAAGUUGGGCACUCUGAAAGAACUGCCAGUGAUAAGCUGGAGGAAGGUGGGGAUGACGUCAAGUCCUCAUGGCCCUUACGUGUUGGGCUACACACGUGCUACAAUGGUAUCUACAACAGGAAGCAAGACUGCGAAGUUAAGCAAAUCCCUAAAAGAUACCUCAGUUCGGAUUGCACUCUGCAACUCGAGUGCAUGAAAGCUGGAAUUACUAGUAAUCGUGGAUCAGCGUGCCACGGUGAAAUGCGUUCCCGGGUCU